This 661-nucleotide ribosomal RNA is filed under the name Colletes consors. Its description in RNAcentral is "eukaryotic LSU rRNA". It matches the Rfam family "Eukaryotic large subunit ribosomal RNA", at positions 420 to 810 of the family's 3401-position model. The record is from RNAcentral. Lineage: Eukaryota; Metazoa; Arthropoda; Insecta; Hymenoptera; Colletidae.
CCUGAGAAACCCAAAAGAUCGAAUGGGGAGAUUCAUCGACGACGAAGCUGGCUCCCGUUGGCGUGCGAUUCCCCCGUUGGGACCUCGGUUCCAGAACGCGGGGUACACCCCUUCGGCGAAUAACCGGCGACGUAGUCGUGCACUUCUCCCUUAGUAGAACGUCGCGACCCGUUGUGUGUCGGUCUACGGCCUGGGCUAUUUGCCUGUCGCGGUGGCAUUAGUUCGCUCGCGGCAGAGGCUCGGUCGCCCGGCCGGCUGCACGACGGUACUCCGACGGUAUCGGGCCGCAACCAAUCCAUUCUCGAAUGGUAUAUGCGUCCAGGCCCGUCGCAAGCUCGGACAGCACCCGGAGCGUGUGGACGCAGCGCCCUCCCCGGGUCUGGCCAGCUGUUAGCAGACGGUGUCCUCGGACCGGCCAAGCUUCGAAUUACCGGUCAGCGACGCUAUUGCUUUGGGUACUCUCAGGACCCGUCUUGAAACACGGACCAAGGAGUCUAACAUGUGCGCGAGUCAUUGGAACAUUGAAAUCUAAAGGCGAAAUGAAAGUGAAAGUCGUCGUAAGCGUCGACCAAGGGGAGGAUGGGCCGCGUCACGUCGCGGCCUCGCACUCCCGGGGCGUCUCGUUCUCGUUGAGAAGAGGCGCACCCAGAGCGUACACGUU